Zea mays is the source of this 140-nucleotide non-coding RNA. Lineage: Eukaryota; Viridiplantae; Streptophyta; Magnoliopsida; Poales; Poaceae. The record is from Rfam.
CCUGCAGGAUAGUGUGUAUCAGCUUCACGCAAUUUUGAUGCGUCUUUUGCUGAAAGUGUUUCCUGCUAUAUCAAUCUGAGGAAAAUGGGCAGUUGGGUUAAGCAUAUCUGCUUUCUCCAACAAUCAUUUUCCUCUCAUGU